RNAcentral lists this ribosomal RNA (497 nucleotides) under uncultured bacterium. RNAcentral's name for it is "partial 16S ribosomal RNA". It matches the Rfam family "Bacterial small subunit ribosomal RNA", at positions 28 to 507 of the family's 1533-position model. The record is from RNAcentral.
GAUGAACGCUGGCGGCGUGCCUAAUACAUGCAAGUCGAGCGAACAGACGAGGAGCUUGCUCCUCUGACGUUAGCGGCGGACGGGUGAGUAACACGUGGAUAACCUACCUAUAAGACUGGGAUAACUUCGGGAAACCGGAGCUAAUACCGGAUAAUAUAUUGAACCGCAUGGUUCAAUAGUGAAAGACGGUUUUGCUGUCACUUAUAGAUGGAUCCGCGCCGCAUUAGCUAGUUGGUAAGGUAACGGCUUACCGAGGCAACGAUGCGUAGCCGACCUGAGAGGGUGAUCGGCCACACUGGAACUGAGACACGGUCCAGACUCCUACGGGAGGAAGCAGUAGGGAAUCUUCCGCAAUGGGCGAAAUCCUGACGGAGCAACGCCGCGUGAGUGAUGAAGGUCUUCGGAUCGUAAAACUCUGUUAUUAGGGAAGAACAAAUGUGUAAGUAACUAUGCACGUCUUGACGGUACCUAAUCAGAAAGCCACGGCUAACUACGUG